GCAAUGAUUUUUCAGCGGGACAAGGUCUUGGGACAAGCUCCUCUUGACAUGUAAUCAAUUGUUCACUGACUGGAGUAUCAGACAAGUGACUCUGCUCGGGACUAGCAGUCAGAAGAUGGAUGGAGUGUAAGACUUCAAAGAAGCAUGGAAACACAUCACCCAUGUCUAGACCUUUGCAAAUCUUUUAUGUCUGCGGCCCUGAUGCAGCGUUAGAACACCUGGAUGACAAGAAGCACCUGUCCCAAAACUUUAGAAGAACACAAUAGACCACAGAAGAAGUAACACCACACAGGGGGAAGAAGACAAAGAAGUCACUCAGCAUGGGGUGAACAUGUGAACUCCUCACACACACAGUGCCGACACGAUUUUAUGCCCCAAUCCUGGAGAUGUGAGGACCGCUCUGCCGUGAAAU
Molecule: long non-coding RNA, 412 nt
Organism: Brienomyrus brachyistius
Lineage: Eukaryota; Metazoa; Chordata; Actinopteri; Osteoglossiformes; Mormyridae
Exons: 4
Source: RefSeq, a predicted model, not a curated record